UACGGGACAACCCCGCCCGGACUUCUACGGAAGCCAGACUUUGCCUAGGACUUUGGUUGCAGGAAAACGAAAGCUUUGCCCUGGCCCCUACGAGAACCAAGCUACUCCAACUUCAGGAGGACUUCUCCGCUCGGACUCCCAAGGGAGCCGGACUCAGCUCCGACAUCAACAGAGAAGAAACCCAAGCAAAAAAGAAAGCAAACAGUGCCCGAAGGCAACGGAAGCCUGGACCCCCAAAUUCAAGCCCUAGGGGGGACUUCGGGCCCGAAGGGCCCCAAGCGAGCCUGCAGCCGUCAACGGAAUCACAAUUGGGUAUCUUCGAACGGCGUAAGAACUGAAAAAAUAGCUCGACAAACGAUAACCCCACAUGAACUGAAGAGGCCGCCGACGACCUUGGGACGACGUGACAC
This 410-nucleotide long non-coding RNA is filed under the name Elaeis guineensis (African oil palm). RNAcentral describes it as "long non-coding RNA (EGUI_LNC014130)". The record is from RNAcentral. Lineage: Eukaryota; Viridiplantae; Streptophyta; Magnoliopsida; Arecales; Arecaceae.